Molecule: long non-coding RNA, 744 nt
Filed under: Phoenix dactylifera (date palm)
Lineage: Eukaryota; Viridiplantae; Streptophyta; Magnoliopsida; Arecales; Arecaceae
Description: long non-coding RNA (PDAC_LNC014111)
Source: RNAcentral
AUCAUAUGAUACUAUGAAAUAUUCUAUCUUAUGCAUCAAUUCAUGUAAAACCUUACGUUUGAUCCGAUAAGAUAGUGAAAGGUUUACUUAUUAAGCCGCGUCGCUCAUAAAUCUCUAUUUUUAUUUUUUUUCUCUAGACGAAUAGGAUCAGUAGGGACAAAGAAUGGUACGGGCUUAAAAUUUGUGCUAACAAGCUUAGCGAUUUAUAUAGCAUAACUUUAGUUCUUUAGUUGAUGAUGAAUUUGCAGCAUAGUAAUUUUCUACAUGUUUGAAAUUAGAAACUUUGGACUAAUAAUAGUCGUAUUUAAUGGAUAACAAAAUUAGAUUUCUAUUUAUUUUAUUUUAUUUAAAAAAUUAAAAGUUAAAUAUAAUAUCAGCUACAUGUUAUGGUAGGGCUUUCACUUCCAUCACCAUUCUCGAUGAAGCCCUAAUGUUCAAGCUGAAGAAGUUAUGACCCCAAGUUUCUCCUGCUGAGGUCCAAUCUGAGGCUAAUGGAGCAUCACCCAUUUUUAUGGAUUAAAAACAAAGGAACGAGAAAAUAUAGAACACAAACAAGAAGCAGACCAAGACAAACCAAAUGCUUCCAAGAGAAAACAGUAAUAGGAUUGGAACAACCAAGAACUAGAGGCAUCUUCUCGCACCCCAUCACCCCAGCUAACACCCGUUCCCACCAUUCAAAUCCUAAGGCCAACCUCCGCCUCACAACUCAUAUCCUCCUCCUGGCUCCUCACCACCUUAAUAAAC